Molecule: non-coding RNA, 4403 nt
Organism: Bactrocera oleae (olive fruit fly)
Lineage: Eukaryota; Metazoa; Arthropoda; Insecta; Diptera; Tephritidae
Source: RefSeq, a predicted model, not a curated record
UAAGAAGCUCAUUUGUCGAAGCGGAUCCACUAUAGCAUAUAGCUCCCAUACAAACUGAACGUUCGUAAUCAAGUGCUUGUUUGGAAAAUUCUUUUAUUUGACGAAGUAUCUUAGACAAAAUUAAGCAUGGAUUAUUGUCUAAGGCAAUAAUGUAUUAUCCGAAGAAAUUGUUCAGAUCAGAUCACUAUAUCAUGUAGCUGCCAACAUAACGAUCGGAAACAAGUUCUUUUUAGGAACCUUUGUAUUUGUGAAGGGUAUUAGUUAAACAUUUUUCUUGUUUUUAUUUUACAUUUUAUUUUUUCCAUUUAAACUAUGCGCACAAACCGAUUCAACAGAAUUUUUUUCGUAGAUUAGUACAACUAGACCAGGAUAAAUAAUUUUUGAAAGCAAAAAAAAAAGUUGUAGUAGGUGGAACCCAUUGCACAGAAAGACAAAAUAACAAAAUGAAAGCAAAAAUAAAUUACUGACUAUUUGAGGUCGUGGAGAGGAAGAGUAGAAAGGAGGGGCCUGGUUGAAUUGUUAUGGGUUAAAACCGGUUUAUAUUGAUUUCCGACAAAACUCCGAGUCCUAUAGAAUAAAGUUAAAUGACCUAGUUGUAAGUAAUGAAAAGAUCUACAACUUUUGAACAAACACCCCUUUCCAUAACCUCAAACCUUUGAGAAAAAUUAAAAUAAUUUAGUUUUUGGGUUUUUAUUUUUAUUUAUUUGGCGUACUUACCUUCUUAUGACCCAAACACACUGUAUUUUAUUUAAUUUACAAUAUUUAUUUUUCAUUUUGACUUAAUAUUGGAAGAAACCCUAAAUUUCAAUCGAAAAUGUUCCCGUCAAAAUUUCUGCGUUUUUAAAAAGUCAGUAGUCGGUCUUAAAUUGACACAACAUGUGACGUUUGAUCUCAAUUAAGGUGUGUUUGCGGAUGUUUGUUUAAGAUGUGAAAAGUUUGUCUGUUGAGCUAUACCAUGGAAAGAAGUUUAACAACGAGUUUACUUGAAAUAUUGUAUUUCAAUUGGAAUCGCGGCUACGGAAUCGUUGAAAAUUUUGUAGCGUGUCAAUGCUGGACUCAUAUUAAAUUACUUAAAUCUUUUACAAAAAUGGCGUUAAGUAGAGGUCGCAAAACAGAUGCUUGAUGAUGUUGAGGACUCUACAUUCCUCAAACGCAUCAUUACUGAUGACGAGGCGUGGGUUUUUGAAUAAGAUGUGGAAGCUCUCCAACAAUAUAGCGAAUGGCGCUACAAAAAUGAGCCAAUACUAAAAAACCAAAUUCGCUGAAGGUAUGUUUAACGGUUUAUUCGGAAGGAAGAGUAGCUUAUGUCGUUAAUGACACUUUGAAAAUUUAGACAGUUUGAUUUUAAAAAUUACUCUAAAUUUGUUUGUUGGUAUUUAAGAAAAAAAUAAUGAUUUAAAAAUAUUAUAUUUCAAAUUAAAUGUUUUAGUUUCAAGCACUUUAUAUUAUUCUUCCAUAGAUUGAAAUUUAAUAUGCAAAAAUACACUUACAACUCGUCGAUUGCUCAAAAAUACACAAAUUAUUAACUGAAAACACUACCAGGAAAACUUUGACCAAUUAGAAGGAAUAAUAUACUCGUUCUAAGACAGCUAGAGUUUCAAAGGAGAGAUUUUAAAAUUUGAGCUACAGUAAUAUAACAACAAAUAUUUAAUUUAGUCCAAUAAUUAUGAUAUUCUAGAAAUGAAAGGAAUGGUUUGUGAAAACUGAAGUGCGAUAUAUGCUCUAUUGACCCUACUGGAAACGCUUCUAUGUACCAAUAUGGUAUUUUUAAAGUUAUUUUACCAUUUGCUAGAGUUAAAAUUUUCGAAUCUUGUUUAAAAUAUUAUGGAUAGAACUCUAUCAAAGAUCAGCAUAGUUAGGUUAAGUUUCGAGCUGCUACUUGGAUGUAACACCAACCCUUUGUGAUGUGAAAAUAACUACUAUCGAGAUUAAGAAUCUUGAGACCCUUGUGUAUCGAAUCGAAGGUAAGACAUCCGAGACGUUUGAACCGAAGUUUAGCAAAAUCGGGAAGUUGGGAAAGAGUGGAGAGAUAAGCUUUCACCUCGCAUUCCUCCAACUAAUUUUGACAAUUUGGUUUAAAAAUAUUUUGCUUUACCGCAUGUUUUCCCAACUACGCACUCGUGCUCUGGUGAAGUGAUAUCGUCUAGUACCAUAUUAUAUUUAAUCAAUUUAAUUUAUACAGAUGGCAAUAAAGUCGUUGAAGUAAGAAGAUAUAUUAAAUUUGUUAAUUGUAGACUUUAAACAAUCAAACAUGAUACUAGUGGGCCUUAGCCCAAGCUUUAUAUGUCCUUUAUAAAUGCGUACUUAAAUUUAGGUCGCUGGGCACAUAAAAAUAUAGAUCCUUGUGGAAAAUUGAUUUAAACUCAUACAAUAGAAACACAUUAAGGAAAAAUUGAGUUAUUUAAAAUGAUCUGGCGAAAUGUUUAGGCCUUGAAACUUCAGCUUUAUCAAAAUUCGGUUGUUAUUUAUACAAAACAAUAGUAAUAAAAUAAUUAGUUGUUGUUGUAACGGUUACCUAAUCCCCAUUUGGGUGAUAGGUUCCAGAUUGGUUGUCGUCGAGGUCAUCUAACAGGAGACCCAGGAAACGAGCUGUUUCGACGGGGUCGGACCAUAAGGAAAAAAAUGUUAGAUGAGUGGUGUUCGUUGGGCAUGCAAAGAGGUGAGAAACUGCUUGGAGAGGAGCUCGUUAUGUUCCUUAACCGGAAGAAUACGGGCCUCACUGUGUAGGUGUUCGAUUGGGGACAUCAAGAGGCAUCCCGGAGUGCAGUGUUCUGACAGGUCUGGAGCUUCUUCGUCUGCGUAGCACUACAUCCAGGCGACCAUAUUGAGGCUGCAUAGUUUAGGACCGGUCGGCCGAUUGCCUUGUAUGUCGCCAGCAACGUUUCUUUGUCUUUUCCCCAAGAGCUGCCGGUUAGCGAUUUGAGGAUUUUGUGGCGGCUCUGUACUUUGGCAGUUAUCGCAGUCGUGUGAGGAGUGAAGGAGCAAAUACUGUCUAGUGUAACGUCUAAAAUUUUAGGGUUGUUUACCGUCGUAAUUUUGGUACCAUCGACUGAAAUGUUUAGAUACAGUCUGUACUCCUUCGUCCAGUUCGUAAAUAUGGUCGCUGUGGAUUUAGUGGGGGAGAAUGUCAGACUCCUUGCAGAGAAGAAGCGCGGAAGUUCGGAGAGGUCACGGAAAUUCGCUCUGGUGGUUGUGGGAGUUUCGAAACGUAGAAGUUAAACAGUAGAGGGGAGAGGACACCACCCUGCGGAACCCCCUGUUUAAUUCUUCUCAGUUUGGAGUUUUGACCUCGAAACAGUACGGAUGAAUGCCGACCGCUCAGGUAGUUCAUAGUACACCGCUUCAGCUAAAAUAAUUAGUAGUUUAAAGGAGUAGAGUAGAAGUAGUACAAUAUAAUCAUCUCGAUCCAAAUAAAAUGUACGAUAGUAUGCUGUUAUACUUGUUCCUUAGCACACCAGUACCUUCACUAUCAUAAAAUAGAAUAGUCGGGUUAGAACGUUAUAUCAGCACACCUACUUUUGGCAAAGACCUCAGCUUAAAUUAUGCUCUGAAAACUGGCUGACAGUUUGGUUUUUAUUUCAACUAUCCCAACAGCUUCCGCUAUCCUGAAACUCUCGAUAUACCACUGUUCGGUGCUUCCUUUGAGAUGCUCGUUAAAGCGAGAUUUUUAGCAAGAGAGCGCAAGUUGAGGUAGGAAGUAGUGGAUAAUGUAUAGUAUAGUAAUAGGGAAUUAAUACGUGAAUAAAUUGCUAAUGUAAUAAAUUCAUGUGUCAUUGAAUCAUUAUCAUACUUCAAUCGUUUACGAUUCGUCAGCCCACUACUAUUUAUCUUUACUAUCAUGUAAAAAAAUGUACUUAAGAACAAACAACAACAAAGUACUUUAUUUGAAUUUGAUAUAUACAAGCUUAUAUAUCAAAUUCAAUUACUACCUCUUUAAGGUAGUAUAACCUCAAGCUGGAGAGUAGAGAUGGAACUUAAUUAUGUACAUCUAUUAAAUGUAUGCCAGUUGUAUAUUCGAUUCACGAAUUAAAGCAACUUUUAUUGACUUUUUUAAAAGCUAGAAAUUCUAUUUUCCACAACACAAUAUCCAAGGCUAACGAAAAGAGAGAGCAAAUAGUAAUGGGUGUUUUUUAGACAUGUGGUUUUCAAAAAUCAAUAAAACGCUUAUUAUUUAAUGUUAUGACCAAGAAUUUAGCCCUAUGAUAAAGAUAAGGGUUUGCCAUUAUGUUUUAAAAGUUAUUUCGGGCAAGUGGCCACUGCAGGUGUCCAGCGAUGUUAAAUUGCACGAUCUUGGAGGCCACGUCAUAUGCCCACGAUGCAAGAUAAUGCGAUACCCAAAAGUUUCAUUCAAUAAAUUGAUUGUUUUGUUGGCUGUAUGGUAUGUAUCGCCGUCUUGUUGCCUC